RNAcentral lists this ribosomal RNA (465 nucleotides) under uncultured Klebsiella sp. Its description in RNAcentral is "bacterial SSU rRNA". It matches the Rfam family "Bacterial small subunit ribosomal RNA", at positions 338 to 795 of the family's 1533-position model. Lineage: Bacteria; Pseudomonadati; Pseudomonadota; Gammaproteobacteria; Enterobacterales; Enterobacteriaceae. The record is from RNAcentral.
CCUACGGGUGGCUGCAGUGGGGAAUAUUGCACAAUGGGCGCAAGCCUGAUGCAGCCAUGCCGCGUGUGUGAAGAAGGCCUUCGGGUUGUAAAGCACUUUCAGCGGGGAGGAAGGCGUUAAGGUUAAUAACCUUGGCGAUUGACGUUACCUGCAGAAGAGGCACCGGCUAACUCCGUGCCAGCAGCCGCGGUAAUACGGAGGGUGCAAGCGUUAAUCGGAAUUACUGGGCGUAAAGCGCACGCAGGCGGCCUGUCAAGUCGGAUGUGAAAUCCCCGGGCUCAACCUGGGAACUGCAUUCGAAACUGGCAGGCUAGAGUCUUGUAGAGGGGGGUAGAAUUCCAGGUGUAGCGGUGAAAUGCGUAGAGAUCUGGAGGAAUACCGGUGGCGAAGGCGGCCCCCUGGACAAAGACUGACGCUCAGGUGCGAAAGCGUGGGGAGCAAACAGGAUUAGAUACCCGAGUAGUC